RNAcentral lists this unclassified non-coding RNA (933 nucleotides) under Hevea brasiliensis (rubber tree). Lineage: Eukaryota; Viridiplantae; Streptophyta; Magnoliopsida; Malpighiales; Euphorbiaceae. The record is from RNAcentral.
UUUUAGAUCAUCACAAAACUUUAACUGCAGUAAGGUGCAAGACAGGCAAAGUCUCUAACAAAUCAUAAGUUAACAUGGAGGCCUUAGGCUUGGCCGGCCGGUUAGAAAAUCCGACAGGCAAUGGAGCGAGCAGUGUGGUUCUCUCACAAGUACCAAGCCACUUGGAUUGCAUGUACUUGUGCUUCCUCCAGGGACCUAAGUGCAUCUUAUUCUCCUUCAUACACUUUUUUCCUGCUGAACAUAAUAUUUUGAUCAAGGCUUUUAGCCUCUCUGCUUUUCCCACAAAUAUUUCAGGCAGCCGAUUAAUUAAUUGAUUAUACUCUUCACUUGCUUUUGCCAUCUCGAAUUCUGCUUGAAAGUUCAAUUCUAUUAUCACUCUCACUUCCCCUUUCUUCGAGCUCAAUUUAUCCACCACUUCUAAGUAAGUGUGUUCCCCUGAUGGAAUUUCCUGGCUGCUCUUCCAUUUUGACUUGCAAAUGGCACAAUUAUAACCUUCUGCUUGAAGCCGUAAUAAAACCUCCCUCUGCAAGCAAUUCCGGCACUCUCCGGUCGCCGCCUUGUGACACCUGCAUUGCAGGCCUAUCAGCUUAGUCUCCCUUACUGCAGCUUUUGUAGCUUGACGGAUUUUUGUUUCCAGGGAACUAGUCCUAUACAAUGUUGCCUGAAGAAGUUGGUUUUGUGUUUCCCAGAAUUUUCUGUUUUCUUCAAUACUACAAGAAUUCUCAUCCUCAUCAUACUCAACAUAAUCAAUAGAGUCACAAGAACUCUUGGGUGACUCUUCUUGAGCUUCCAAGAAGCUGAAAACAUUGUCGGCGAAGCUCGUGUGUUGUUCGGAAAUUCCAACAAUUAUGUCAGAAUUCCAGCGAGUGAUCAAAGGUUUUCCGGCCAUGGCUUGAGCCAUGCUUUUUCUUUUCUUUUUUAGGGUAGAAAAUG